RNAcentral lists this ribosomal RNA (343 nucleotides) under uncultured bacterium. RNAcentral's name for it is "bacterial SSU rRNA". It matches the Rfam family "Bacterial small subunit ribosomal RNA", at positions 28 to 355 of the family's 1533-position model. The record is from RNAcentral.
GAUAAACGCUGGCGGCGUGCCUAACACAUGCAAGUCGAACGCGCUUUCUCGCAUGCUUCGUUAAGAAGCGAGCAAGAGAGCGAGUGGCGGACGGGUGAGUAACACAUGGGUCACCUACCUUUCAGUGAGGAAUACCGACGAGAAAUCGUCGACAAGACCGCAUAUGCUCUUUGCAAAGAGAGCAAAGUCCUUUCGCAAGAAGGGACGCUGGAAGAUGGGGCCGUGGCCGAUUAGCUAGUUGGUAGGGUAAUGGCCUACCAAGCGACGAUCGGUAGCUGGUCUGAGAGGACGAUCAGCCACACUGGGAUUGAGAACGGCCCAGACUCCUACGGGAGGCAGCAGU